CCUGUGCUGGCUUCGAGCUGGCGGCCGGGCCGGGCGGAGCAGCAGCUGCAGCCCCGGUGUCCCUGGAGCGGUGGGAGCUGCCGGUGGCCGCAGGCACUGUGCCCUGAGGAGCUGCUGGAGGACGCUGCCCUGAAGACCUUGAGAAGAGCCGGAGAGUGACGGGAGCCAGCAAGGAGAAGCUGAAGGCCGCCAGCAAGAGCAGUGAACGGAGACCUGCUGCUGCCGCCCGAGACCCUGGCUGAGGCCCCAGGGCCGGUGAGGCAGGGUGUCCCAUCUGCUGUCGCUGUCCAGGAGAGCUGCUCUGCACGGGAGGAAGAGACCGAGGGAGAGCCUGGGAACAUCGGCGCCUGCAAUCCCUCCCGAUCUAGUUCUAGUUCUAGAUGUUUACAGUUGGACUAGGAGAGCUAGAAGUAUAUGGAUAUUUACAUAUGUAACCUGAUAUUUGUAUAGGUGUAUAUGUAUGUAUGUUGUUAUAUUACAUCUGUAGUCAUAUUUUCAUACUUGUUCAGUUGUGCAGCUGUAUAGUUCUGUUGCUCGGCCUGUAUGGAUUUUUUAUUGGUCCAUUGAUAGUUGUAUGUUUAUAGAUAGGUUUGUUAUGUAUGGAAUGUAUUUUUCAUGUUAGAUGUCAUGAUAUAUGUAAUACAUAAUUAAAUCUGUAUAUUGUUAUGGUUAUAUCUGUAUUUACUUGUAUUUUUAUAUAUAUAUGGAGUUGUACAGUUCCAUAAUUUUAUUUAUUCUGGAUCUGGGAUUCUUUAGGGAGGGAUAUCAAUAGUUCCGUAUUCGUAUAUGGGCUGUACAGUUAUAGUAAUAUGUAAUAAAUUACAUUGUUAAACUUCAUAUUUGUGUAUAGUGAGUGGUUGUAGAGGUUUGCAAGAAAUUAACGUUUUUAACUGAAGUUGAUCUCUGUAUAUAUUUACAUAGCACGAUUGUAACAAUAAAUUAGUUUUCUAAACUUCAACUGAUACUUGUAUGUUGAUAGAUUGGCAGCGUGGGUGUAUCAAUUUAAAAUAAAUGUCAUUUUUAAAC
Corvus hawaiiensis (hawaiian crow) is the source of this 1026-nucleotide long non-coding RNA. RefSeq lists it as uncharacterized. The record is from RefSeq and is a predicted model, not a curated record. NCBI's taxonomy places the organism in Eukaryota, Metazoa, Chordata, Aves, Passeriformes, Corvidae. The transcript is spliced from 3 exons.